AAAGACUGACGCUCAGGCACGAAAGCGUGGGGAUCAAACAGGAUUAGAUACCCUGGUAGUCCACGCUGUAAACGAUGAUCACUCGUUGUUGGCGAUAUACUGUCAGCGACUGAGGGAAACCAUUAAGUGAUCCACCUGGGGAGUACGGCGGCAACGUUGAAACUCAAAGGAAUUGACGGGGGCCCGCACAAGCGGAGGAGCAUGUGGUUUAAUUCGAUGAUACGCGAGGAACCUUACCUGGGCUUAAAUGCAGGACGACGUUUCGUGAAAGCGGAAUUUCCUUCGGGACGUCUUGCAAGGUGCUGCAUGGUUGUCGUCAGCUCGUGCCGUGAGGUGUCGGGUUAAGUCCCAUAACGAGCGCAACCCUUAUCAUUAGUUGCCAUCAGGUAAUGCUGGGAACUCUAAUGAAACUGCCUACGCAAGUAGUGAGGAAGGUGGGGAUGACGUCAAAUCAGCACGGCCCUUAUGUCCAGGGCGACACACGUGCUACAAUGGCCAGUACAGAGGGUUGCAAA
This 515-nucleotide ribosomal RNA is filed under the name uncultured bacterium. RNAcentral's name for it is "bacterial SSU rRNA". It matches the Rfam family "Bacterial small subunit ribosomal RNA", at positions 735 to 1253 of the family's 1533-position model. The record is from RNAcentral.